RNAcentral lists this unclassified non-coding RNA (257 nucleotides) under Hevea brasiliensis (rubber tree). Lineage: Eukaryota; Viridiplantae; Streptophyta; Magnoliopsida; Malpighiales; Euphorbiaceae. The record is from RNAcentral.
GUUGUUAGGAACCCCGAGAAUAGGCAAGUUCUUUUAUUGCCCUUCUAUGGGUAAUGUCAAUUUUUUUUAUCCUUGGUGUUUUUGACAUAUAUCAUCAAGGUAUCAAAUAAUGUAAAGCAUUGGUCAUAUGAUGUAAUUCUGACAGACCACAGACCAGAGACUAAUUCUGCCAGCAUUACUGAAUUGUGAUGCCAUUGCCAUCACUAACUUUUAAACUCGGCUUUCUCAUUUUACAGAACACUCCUGCUCAGCCAAGG